UACGCUUGACAUGUCCGAGAUCCCGAAGAGAUUUGGGAGUGCUCGAAAGAGAAUCGGAACACAGGUGCUGCAUGGCUGUCGUCAGCUCGUGUCGUGAGAUGUUGGGUUAAGUCCCGCAACGAGCGCAACCCUUGUCAUUAGUUGCUACAUUCAGUUGAGCACUCUAAUGGGACUGCCGGUGACAAACCGGAGGAAGGUGGGGAUGACGUGGAACGGUUGGUU
This 222-nucleotide unclassified non-coding RNA is filed under the name uncultured Gammaproteobacteria bacterium. RNAcentral's name for it is "contains 16S-23S intergenic spacer region". It matches the Rfam family "Bacterial small subunit ribosomal RNA", at positions 979 to 1197 of the family's 1533-position model. Lineage: Bacteria; Pseudomonadati; Pseudomonadota; Gammaproteobacteria. The record is from RNAcentral.